This 20-nucleotide unclassified non-coding RNA is filed under the name Mus musculus (house mouse). RNAcentral describes it as "oocyte_clustered_small_RNA4815". Lineage: Eukaryota; Metazoa; Chordata; Mammalia; Rodentia; Muridae. The record is from RNAcentral.
UGACUCUGUGGUCGGCCAUG